This 443-nucleotide ribosomal RNA is filed under the name uncultured bacterium. RNAcentral describes it as "partial 16S ribosomal RNA". It matches the Rfam family "Bacterial small subunit ribosomal RNA", at positions 338 to 795 of the family's 1533-position model. The record is from RNAcentral.
CCUACGGGAGGCAGCAGUGGGGAAUAUUGGGCAAUGGGCGCAAGCCUGACCCAGCAACGCCGCGUGAAGGAAGAAGGCUUUCGGGUUGUAAACUUCUUUUGUCAGGGACGAAGCAAGUGACGGUACCUGACGAAUAAGCCACGGCUAACUACGUGCCAGCAGCCGCGGUAAUACGGAGGUGGCAAGCGUUAUCCGGAUUUACUGGGUGUAAAGGGCGUGUAGGCGGGGAGGCAAGUCAGAUGUGAAAACCACGGGCUCAACCUGUGGCCUGCAUUUGAAACUGGUUUUCUUGAGUGCUGGAGAGGUAAUCGGAAUUCCGGGUGUAGCGGGGAAAUGCGUAGAUAUACGGAGGAACACCAGUGGCGAAGGCGGAUUGCUGGACAGUAACUGACGCUGAGGCGCGAAAGCGUGGGGAGCAAACAGGAUUAGAUACCCGGGUAGUC